GCGCAGGGGAGCUGUUAGAGGUGGGAGUUGGAGCUGCGGGCCUGGAGGGGGCAGCGGAGCUGCGAUGCGGACGGGGCAGCGCCGGUGAACGGAGCUGCAGCCCGACAUGAACUCGCUGGAGCAGGCGGAAGAUCUCAAGGCUUUUGAGAGGAGACUUACUGAAUAUAUUCAUUGUUUGCAACCUGCCACUGGACGUUGGAGAAUGCUUCUUAUAGUGGUAUCUGUCUGUACAGCUACUGGUGCCUGGAACUGGUUAAUAGAUCCCGAGACGCAAAAGGUGUCCUUCUUCACAUCAUUAUGGAACCAUCCAUUUUUCACCAUUAGCUGUAUCACUCUAAUAGGCUUGUUCUUUGCUGGAAUACACAAGAGAGUAGUUGCACCGUCAAUUAUAGCUGCUCGAUGUCGAACUGUAUUAGCAGAGUACAACAUGUCUUGUGAUGAUAAACACGUUGAGUGAAGUAGAUGAAAAAGAACACGCUGUGUGAUUCCAUUUACUUAAAGAUCAGAGAGAGGCAGAUUAACCUGUGACAGGAAAACUAAUUUUGAAACCUAGGCCUCAUGUUCAAUGACAAUCUGCACUCAUUGUUAUGGGACUUAAAACAACCUUUCUUCAAAAAGUGAUACAGCAAAAAGCCAUAAAGGAUUGCUUUUACAGUUGGAUAUGUGAACGUCAUAGCAACAACUGACAAGAAAUGUGCAAUAUUUACCCAGAUUAUCUUCAUGGUGGUGACUCGCGUAAUCAGUGCUUUGGUACCUUUGAUUAUUUGUGUUUCAGUAUUAGUGUCACUUUAGUACUUCAGAUCCUGCAAAGAUUUUUGCAGAUGAAGUAUGUAUGUAUGUUACUAAGUUAAACUUAGAAACAGAACCUCAUCCAGUUUUUAUAAUGUAUUUUUGUAAACUACUGUAAAUAGCAAAUCAAUGCCAGUGUUAAAAAGGAAACGUUAUGUGGACUUUGUUCUCCUGCACCAGUGUUUCAGGAACAUCUGCUUGCCAUCUCCACAGCUCUUUAAAACCAGCUAUUACGUAUAGCUGUGCCUUUCACUCUUACACUCCUCUCUUUUAAUCAUAAUGCAGGAAAAACAUUGGAUUGAGCUAAGACUAAGGAAAAUUCAUCUCCAUUAUGUUUUAAGAAAUUAUAGGUGUUUUGAGAAACAGUUUUUGUUAAAACUAGAUAGUGAACUUCAGCCACUAUUGUGAUAUUUUCCAGUUCAUUGUUUUCAUUUAAUGCUAAAUAUACUUUAUAUUUUUUUAAUGAUUUUAAGAACACUCCAAAGGCUUCUGAAUAGACAAGGUUAGUUAUAAAUUAUGUAUUGUCUGGGGAAUUUGAUAGUCAUUGUUUUAGAUAAUGGGAUUUUAUGCCGUGGUAGACGUGCUGUUACACUAGUAUUGUGCAGGUGUGCUUGAUCAGCCACACCAUCACAGGGACAACGGGAGCAGUGCCACAAACUAGAGUCUACAAUUCUCACUGUUUAGAGAGUGUUAAUGACAUACUGUGUAUGCAUAUUAGCCACAUAUACUAUAACAGCCCUUAAAAUUAAGCUAUUGGGAUUGCUGUAAAUAUUUUAAAGAACUGGAGGUGCCUUUUACCUGUUUAUUAGAAGAUUUUGAAAGGUUUAAAUUAUUUCAUGAGCAAUCUUUUAAAUUUCAUUUAACAUAAGGCUGAAAAUUCAAAAACAGGACAAAAAACCUUUUUAACAAGGCUGCCAUUUAUUUUAAAUGUGUCCAUCUUGGCUUUCACGUGUAUAAAAUUUCAUUCUUUGAACUGCAGCAAUAAACCCCUCUGCUCCUACGAAGUUUUAAGAGGGUAUUCCAUAUAUUCUGCAUUGUUUUAUUUCCUGUAAAUUUUGUAGGUAAAUAUGUGCAUAAAAAUAAAUACUUUAUAUAUAUUUAGUGA
This is an RNA transcript of Aethalodelphis obliquidens (Pacific white-sided dolphin), 1894 nucleotides long. It is a transcript of the gene named CTD nuclear envelope phosphatase 1 regulatory subunit 1, with no coding region annotated. The record is from RefSeq and is a predicted model, not a curated record. NCBI's taxonomy places the organism in Eukaryota, Metazoa, Chordata, Mammalia, Artiodactyla, Delphinidae. The transcript has 7 exons.